GACGAACGCUGGCGGCGCGCCUAACACAUGCAAGUCGAGCGGAGAUGCACGCUGAUGAACCUUCGGGUGAUUCUUGUGUAUUCUUAGCGGCGGACGGGUGAGUAACACGUGAGCAACCUACCCUGGAGUGGGGAAUAACAUUUGGAAACAGAUGCUAAUACCGCAUGAUGUAUAUAUUCGGCAUCGGAUAUAUACCAAAGAUUUAUCGCUCUGGGAUGGGCUCGCGCCUGAUUAGCUAGUUGGUGAGGUAAUGGCUCACCAAGGCGACGAUCAGUAGCCGGACUGAGAGGUUGAACGGCCACAUUGGGACUGAGACACGGCCCAGACUCCUACGGGAGGCAGCAGUGGGGGAUAUUGCACAAUGGGGGAAACCCUGAUGCAGCAAUACCGCGUGUGUGAAGAAGGCCCCUAGGGUUGUAAAGCACUUUUGUUAGGGAGAAUGGCACUUAUAGUUAAUACCUAUAGGCGCUGAUGUUAACCUAAA
RNAcentral lists this ribosomal RNA (484 nucleotides) under uncultured Oscillospiraceae bacterium. RNAcentral's name for it is "bacterial SSU rRNA". It matches the Rfam family "Bacterial small subunit ribosomal RNA", at positions 28 to 483 of the family's 1533-position model. Lineage: Bacteria; Bacillati; Bacillota; Clostridia; Eubacteriales; Oscillospiraceae. The record is from RNAcentral.